This is an RNA transcript of Dunckerocampus dactyliophorus (ringed pipefish), 5927 nucleotides long. It is a transcript of the gene named oocyte zinc finger protein XlCOF6-like, with no coding region annotated. The record is from RefSeq and is a predicted model, not a curated record. NCBI's taxonomy places the organism in Eukaryota, Metazoa, Chordata, Actinopteri, Syngnathiformes, Syngnathidae. The transcript is spliced from 3 exons.
CGACCAUUUCAUAAUUCCUGUGUCGUGUAGUGCCACCAAUGUGACCACACACAUCAGUGACCUCCUCCUGGUUAUACUACGGCAAUUCGUUUGGGAAAAGGCUGAUUUGAGAAUGAUUAAUUUUUAAAUUAUGUUCCCAAUAGAAAUUCCCCCAAAUGAUGUAAACGCACCUUUUACCAAAUAAUUGCUGUAAGAUAACCAGCACGAUGCAACUAAUGUGUGAGGUGAUUUUGGUGGCACUAGACGUCACAGAAGUGAAAUUGUUUGAUGGUUUGUUUCAUUUUGGUAUACACAUUUGUAGACGGUCCCUGCGCUCCGGUCUCACUGCUGGCUGCUCAUCAAUGUAAGUAAUACUGCACAAAGGACGGCUCGUUUUGAUGUAAAAAAGGUUGUGUACAAAAAAUUGCUUUCAUCGCUCUUGGAUAGUGAGAAUAAUGUGUGGCCAACAACAAUGAACACUGUGGCGUCCUUGCGCCAGAAAAGUACAUCAGUCACGCUGUUGAAUUAUUUAAGAACAUACUCGCAAAAACAGAGCGUCGAAUUAUUUAAGAACAUGCUCGCAAAAACAGAGCGUCCAGGACAUCCUUCCCGAAAGUGACCACAAUACCGGAAGAUAGAGGUUUUGAAUGUAAUUACACUUCCUCACCUGAGAGAGGCAGUAAUGCCAGCAUAUACUCUGUUCUUGUCUGGCGGAAGUAAAUGAAAGGGGAAGUCAUAGCAAGACGGUGUUGUUUCGUCUCUAUGAUCGUGUUUUAAAAUUAUGUACACAUUUAGAUCAUGUCAAAGAAUAAUAUUCAACACCUCUAUUUUUCAUCCAGAAUCAAGUCCUCUCAAGGCUAUAGUUUAGCCUGCUAGCUGUUACCAAAGACAGCGGAAGUUAAGAACACAUACUGCGCAUGCGUCGUUCGCCAUUUUGAACUAUUGUGAGAAAGAUUGCAACGAAAUAGAUUGUUGCCGCGUGUGUUGUUGCUGUGCGUAUUUUCCGCGUGGGUUGUUCGUUACUGUUACGACAAGGUCCCCUAAGUGAACGUUGAAGCCUCUCGGGGUAGAUUAGCUUGCUAGAUGCUAACACAGAGAUACCGGAAGUGAUCAACAGAGAUCAAGUGAGAGUGUAAAGUGUUGUGAUUGUGUGAACAUGUGCGAAAGAACGAUAGCAGAGUACGAGGAGGAACUUUCUGGACGGAAAGAGGAGAACGAGCUACAACGUCAAUUAUUGGACGCUGUUUUCAAGAACCCUCGAGUUGCGCUACACAGAGCAGAAGUCAGCAAAGAACAUCUUCACCCUGAGCAGCAGGAGUGGAGCUCUAGGAUGGAGCAGGAGGUGCCACACCUCCCUAACAUUAAAGAGGAAGAGGAGGAGCCACAAUAUCCCCACAUUAAAGAGGAAGAGGGGGAGCCACAGCCCCCUCCCCUUAAAGAUGAAGAGGGUGAGCCACAGCCUCCCCACCUUAAAGAGGAACAGGGGGAGCCACAGCCCCACCACCUUAAAGAUGAAGAGGACGAUCACAGCAUUAGUCAGGAGGGAGAUCAUCUUGAAGGAUUGGAGUUCCCAGUGAUUGGUGUCCUUAUGGCGGGUGAUGAGGAUGAUGAAGAUGAAGAAGACAAAGGUGAAAGUGAGGAGAAGAGAGAGGUGGAGCCUCCAAGCAGCAGCUCAACUCAACACAUGACAACAGAAGCUGAUGGAGACCACUGUGGAGGAUCACAAGCAGACAACCUCUUAGCUCCACUAUCAGAUAGUGACGACACAAAAUCACACUCUCCUGACACUGAUGAUGAAGACUCUAAAGCUGAUAUGACAUGUCACACUGACAACACACACUUGAAAUGCUCUCACUGUGACAAAACUUUUAAAAACCGUCGUAAUCUGAAAACACACGUGAGAAGUCACACAGGAGAAAAAACAUUCAUGUGCUCAAUUUGUGAUAAAAGAUUCUCUUGGAAGGAAACUUUGACACGACAUAAUCGAUUGCACACUGGAGAGAAACCUUUUUCCUGUUCAGUGUGUGGUGUGGGUUUUGCACAAAAAAAUAAUUUGACAAUACACAUGAGAAAACACACUGGAGAAAAACCAUAUUCUUGCUCAGUGUGUGGCACAGGUUUUGUAGAACCUCAAAGUUUGAAAAUACACAUGAGAAGUCACACAGGAGAAAAACCAUUCUUGUGCUCAGUUUGUGGCAAAAGAUUCACUCAAAAGCAUAGUUUGACAGUACAUUCUAGAGUGCACUCUGGAGAGAAACCGUUUACCUGUUCAGUGUGUGGCAUAGGUUUUGCACAAAAACGUGGUUUAAAAUUACAUGUGAGAACACACACUGGAGAAAAACCAUAUUCCUGUUCAGUGUGUGGUAUAGGUUUUGCACAAAAUGAUUAUUUGAAAGCACACAUGAGAACGCACACUGGAGAGAAACCGUAUUCCUGCUCAGUAUGCAGCAUAAGUUUUGCACGAAAACCUAAUUUGACAACACACCUGAGAAGACACACUGGAGAAAAACCAUAUUCCUGUUCAGUGUGUGGUAUACGUUUUGCACAAAAAGAUUAUUUGAAAGCACACAUGAGAACACACACUGGAGAAAAGCCAUAUUCCUGUUCAGUCUGUGGUGUAGGUUUUGCACAAAAAGGUAAUUUGAAAAAACACAUGACAACACACACUGGAGAGAAUCUGUAUUCCUGUUCAGUAUGUGGUAAAGGUUUUGCAUAUAAAGGUAAUUUUAAAAAACACAUGACAACACACACUGAAGAGAAUAUGUCUUCCUGUUCCGUAUGUGGUAAAGGUUUUGCACAUAAAGGUGAUUUGAAAAAACACAUGACAACACAUGGUGGAGAAAAAACAUAUUCCUGUUCACUGUGCGGUAAAGGUUUUGAGCAUAAAGGUGAUUUGGAUAAACACAUGCGGACGCACACUGGGGAGAAACCAUAUCCCUGUUCAGUGUGUGGUGAAAGAUUUACACAAAAAGGUAAUUUGAAAAAACACAUGGCAACACACACGAGAGAGAAACCUUAUUCGUGUUCAGUGUGUGCUGUAGGAUUUCGACAAACUCAUGCUUUGAAAAGACACAUGAGAAGACACACUGGUGAGAAAGUGUUUAGGUGCAGUGUGUGUGAUGAAAGAUUCUCUUAUAAGUACCAGCUUAACAAUCACAAGUGUGCUGGUGAGAGUGACAGGAGUAAAUAACGCUGCAGGACUUUAAACUGUUCAGACUUUGAAAACUUUGACCAUCAAACUUUACCACCACAUGUAUUGUGUUUUGUGCGUGUAACACAAUCUUGAUAAUAUAAUAUGUAAUGAUCAUACGGAAAUGUUCAAACUAAUUUGUAUUUUGAAUUUAUUUAAAAAGGGACAGUAUACUGUAUAUUCAGGAACACUUGCAUGCACAUACGCCAGAAUUAGCCCAAAGGCUACUUUACAUCUGUAGUUCCUGGCAGGUCAAAGAAGCAACGGGAAAACACGAAACCGUCACACAAAUGUAAAAUAAAACACAACGACGUACAACAAUGUGUAAGAUAAAACAUUAGCGUAACAUUAAUGGUUACAGAUGUGGUUUAAAUGAAUGUAGUUGGAUUGUUGUUCCAAAUUUCCGUACCUUUGACUGAUAACACCUGUUGGAUGUUGUGCGUCGUCAGGUAUUACACAGUCACCGCUGGUCGAGGUUCUUGUUACUGUUCCACUCAUUGUGGAUUUCAUCUUCAUUCUAGGAGAAGGGAUAGGGGGCUUCAGUAUCUUGUUGAUUGGGGGUGUUGUGGUCCACAGGAGCGUUCCUGAGUCAUUCCUGAGGCCUCUCUAAUAUAUGACUUUUUCAAAAAGUUCCCUGAUAAGCCAGGUAGGCCACCAGGAGGCGUCCGCAGAGGCGCACCUGUAGCCACUUUGCCAUUAGGGGUAUUUAGCCGCCUGGCUGCAGGAGGAGGAUGUGGGUUUGUACUGCUUUAACGGCAUGCUACUGGACAGUGGAGUUCCGUCAGCUUAAUUUUGUUCCUAUCUGGUUGAUUGUUAUAGUUCCUGUUCUCGCUCCAGUAUUGCAUUUUUGUAUACCCGUCUCCCGUCCUCCUGGCGCCUCGUGACAUCGUCACGCCGUCCACCGUCCAUGUAGGGAUUUUCUUUCGGCUGCUGUUUUUCAUUUUUAGUCGCUUUAGUAUUUUUUUUUUUACCAGCUACGGGCUAACCUAUGGUGCGGUUUUCAUUUUUUGCUAUCUUGUCCUGCACUAUCUGUCUCUGUUGUUAUUCAUUUUUUUCUGCAUUGAGAUCAUUGGAUUUUGUUCAUUAAAAGAAUUCUAUUUUUGGCACCCAAACCGUGUGGAGUGGCUCUGCGUCUGGGAUGCUUACCCGUCACAACCCUAACAAAGAUAUUUGAAUUCAUGCACAAACCGCAGCUCAUCUCCUUUCUGAAAGCCAUGAUUUAGGAAGCCACACGAUACGGGUGAUUGCUGAUGUCAACUUUUUUGAGCCUUCUGUGUCAGACUUUGCAUUUGUAAAGAUGUCCGCAUCAUCUGCACAUAAUAUGGUAAGGAGACGUUUGGUAAAUCAUUCAUAUAUAAAGAAAAUCAAAUAGGCUCAAGUAUGGAAGCUUUGGCUAUUCCGUCUUAACAGUCCAAAUAUGGGGAUUUGAUACCACUGACAGACACAAUGAGUUCUGUUCGACAAGUAAGAUUUCAUCCAAAGUCUUGCGUGUGUAACCCAGGUUAACUGGAUGCUCAAAAGUAAAAGCAUAUUAAUAAAAACAGCAAUAAAUACUUUGUAUAAAGAAAAAAUAUGAGACAAUAUGGUUAUAUAAUCUGUAAAUAUGUGUAUAAUAAUCUAUGUUGUUUAAAACCUGUUAAAAUGUGAAAAGGAUGUAAAUUCAUUGGUUAUUGUAAUUUACGUUUGAAUUACGGAUAUGUGACUUUUAUUUUGAAAGGGUACGUUGCUACGUAACCCAUGUGACUAGCUCCAUUUCCUGUGCAGAGGAGGGAGAACAUUCCGCAGUCAGCACAUAGUGAGCAGCAGAAGGAGAAGAGCAGGAAACUUUCCAGAAAAAUAUGAAAACGUGUCUAAAUACUAUUUUUGUUGUCUGAAGAAAGUGCAAAAAAGGUAUUUUUGAUUUUCCACCGUUUUCCUGUUUUGGAGAUGUUUUAUUUUCUCGAACGGGACUUGGCCAAUUAGAUUGGGUUGAAGAACUAUCGAGAUAGAUCGACAUAAGAGAACAUGUGCUGGAGCACAUGUGCUUGAGAUAAAGAUGGCGAGCCACCCACGGAACCUGUGAACUGCGCAUGCGCCAGGACCAGUUCAGGAGCAACAAGCCCUCUGCUGACCGGUGCAUGGUACUACAACUGGUAGGAUUACCCAUUCUUUCUGCAAAACUGCAGUGGACCAAGGGUAACCGCAGGAUUGUCCAAGACAAUCACAGGACUAACAAAUAGAAAAGAAAGAAAAAGACUUAAUUUGGUUAUUCAGUCUUUUGCUGAAUUAUUUUUAACUUGGCACAUUGUUCUAUUCUUUUGGUAUUUUCCUAAAUUAUUGUAAAAGGGUUAUUUUUACAGUAAGUGAUUUGUAUGUUUGUAAACAAACUAAAAAAUGGAAAUUUCAAAAACUGAUUUGAAUGUAACAAGAAUAGAACUAAACUUGGUUUACUUUCAACCAAGUAGUUAAUUAGAAAUUAAUCAAGAACUAACACGAACUAAACAAAAGGUUGCAACCGAGGACUAAACCAACAACGGAACUAAACAUUGGCCAUAAUACCAAAUCUGGUGUCAACAUAGUGCUAACUUAAUUCUUUAAACCAAAAUAAGGUUUAACAGAAAAAAGGUAGAAGGGUUUAACUCAACUGGAAGUGUGUGUUAUGUGUUUGUAUGUUAUGUGUGUAAAUGUUUCUGUCCAUAUUUGUAUUUUGUAAUAAUAAGCCGGCAGUUCAACUUAUUCUUGGUCUGUGGUUUUUUUUAUGUCUGCUAAGCCAAAAAAU